UCCCUGGCAGUUCAGUGAUCAGGAUUCCACACUCUUACUGCCAAGGUCCUGGGUUCAAUUCCUAGUCAGGGAA
This 73-nucleotide transfer RNA is filed under the name Capra hircus (goat). It matches the Rfam family "tRNA". From Rfam's summary of the family: Transfer RNA (tRNA) molecules are approximately 80 nucleotides in length. Their secondary structure includes four short double-helical elements and three loops (D, anti-codon, and T loops). The record is from Rfam by way of RNAcentral. RNAcentral also lists the same sequence under 1 other name. Lineage: Eukaryota; Metazoa; Chordata; Mammalia; Artiodactyla; Bovidae.